UGGGGAAUCUUGCACAAUGGGCGCAAGCCUGAUGCAGCCAUGCCGCGUGUGUGAAGAAGGCCUUCGGGUUGUAAAGCACUUUCAGCGGGGUGGAAGGCGGUGAGGUUAAUAACCUCAUCGAUUGACGUUACCCGCAGAAGAAGCACCGGCUAACUCCGUGCCAGCAGCCGCGGUAAUACGGAGGGUGCAAGCGUUAAUCGGAAUUACUGGGCGUAAAGCGCACGCAGGCGGUCUGUCAAGUCGGAUGUGAAAUCCCCGGGCUCAACCUGGGAACUGCAUUCGAAACUGGCAGGCUAGAGUCUUGUAGAGGGGGGUAGAAUUCCAGGUGUAGCGGUGAAAUGCGUAGAGAUCUGGAGGAAUACCGGUGGCGAAGGCGGCCCCCUGGACAAAGACUGACGCUCAGGUGCGAAAGCGUGGGGAGCAAACAGG
RNAcentral lists this ribosomal RNA (429 nucleotides) under Chloroflexota bacterium. Its description in RNAcentral is "Chloroflexi bacterium partial 16S ribosomal RNA". It matches the Rfam family "Bacterial small subunit ribosomal RNA", at positions 355 to 776 of the family's 1533-position model. Lineage: Bacteria; Bacillati; Chloroflexota. The record is from RNAcentral.